CCUACGGGUGGCAGCAGUGGGGAAUAUUGGGCAAUGGGCGCAAGCCUGACCCAGCAACGCCGCGUGAAGGAAGAAGGCUUUCGGGUUGUAAACUUCUUUUAUCAGGGAUGAAGCAAGUGACGGUACCUGAUGAAUAAGCCACGGCUAACUACGUGCCAGCAGCCGCGGUAAUACGUAGGUGGCAAGCGUUAUCCGGAUUUACUGGGUGUAAAGGGCGUGUAGGCGGGAAAGCAAGUCAGAUGUGAAAACCAUGGGCUCAACCUGUGGCCUGCAUUUGAAAAUGUUUUUCUUGAGUACUGGAGAGGAAGACGGAAUUCCUAGUGUAGCGGUGAAAUGCGUAGAUAUUAGGAGGAACACCAGUGGCGAAGGCGGUCUGCUGGACAGCAACUGACGCUGAGGCGCGAAAGCGUGGGGAGCAAACAGGAUUAGAUACCCCAGUAGUC
This 443-nucleotide ribosomal RNA is filed under the name uncultured bacterium. RNAcentral's name for it is "partial 16S ribosomal RNA". It matches the Rfam family "Bacterial small subunit ribosomal RNA", at positions 338 to 795 of the family's 1533-position model. The record is from RNAcentral.